RNAcentral lists this ribosomal RNA (466 nucleotides) under uncultured bacterium. Its description in RNAcentral is "partial 16S ribosomal RNA". It matches the Rfam family "Bacterial small subunit ribosomal RNA", at positions 28 to 507 of the family's 1533-position model. The record is from RNAcentral.
GAUGAACGCUGGCGGCGUGCUUAACACAUGCAAGUCGAACGGAAAGGCUCCUGCUUGCAGGGGUACUCGAGUGGCGAACGGGUGAGUAACACGUGGGUGAUCUGCCCUGCACUUCGGGAUAAGCCUGGGAAACUGGGUCUAAUACCGGAUAGGACGAUGGUUUGGAUGCCAUUGUGGAAAGUUUUUUCAGUGUGGGAUGAGCUCGCGGCCUAUCAGCUUGUUGGUGGGGUAAUGGCCUACCAAGGCGUCGACGGGUAGCCGGCCUGAGAGGGUGUACGGCCACAUUGGGACUGAGAUACGGCCCAGACUCCUACGGGAGGCAGCAGUGGGGAAUAUUGCACAAUGGGCGCAAGCCUGAUGCAGCGACGCCGCGUGGGGGAUGACGGCCUUCGGGUUGUAAACUCCUUUCGCUAGGGACGAAGCGCAAGUGACGGUACCUGGAGAAGAAGCACCGGCUAACUACGUG